RNAcentral lists this ribosomal RNA (396 nucleotides) under uncultured bacterium. RNAcentral describes it as "bacterial SSU rRNA". It matches the Rfam family "Bacterial small subunit ribosomal RNA", at positions 28 to 428 of the family's 1533-position model. The record is from RNAcentral.
GACGAACGCUGGCGGCGUGCUUAACACAUGCAAGUCGAGCGGUAAGGCCCUUUCGGGGGUACACGAGCGGCGAACGGGUGAGUAACACGUGGGUGACCUGCCCUCAGCUCUGGGAUAAGCCUGGGAAACCGGGUCUAAUACCGGAUAUGACUCCAUGACGCAUGUUGUGGGGUGGAAAGCCUUGUGCGGCUGAGGAUGGGCCCGCGGCCUAUCAGCUUGUUGGUGGGGUGAGGCCUACCAAGGCGACGACGGGUAGCCGGCCUGAGAGGGCGACCGGCCACACUGGGACUGAGACACGGCCCAGACUCCUACGGGAGGCAGCAGUGGGGAAUCUUGCGCAAUGGGCGAAAGCCUGACGCAGCGACGCCGCGUGAGGGAUGACGGCCUCGGUUGUAA